This 253-nucleotide ribosomal RNA is filed under the name uncultured bacterium. RNAcentral's name for it is "partial 16S ribosomal RNA". It matches the Rfam family "Bacterial small subunit ribosomal RNA", at positions 524 to 776 of the family's 1533-position model. The record is from RNAcentral.
UACGUAGGUGGCAAGCGUUGUCCGGAUUUAUUGGGUUUAAAGGGUGCGUAGGCGGCCUUUUAAGUCAGUGGUGAAAUACUUCAGCUUAACUGGAGAGGUGCCAUUGAUACUGGGAUGCUUGAGUACUGAUGAGGUAGGCGGAAUGGACGGUGUAGCGGUGAAAUGCUUAGAUAUCGUCCAGAACACCGAUAGCGAAGGCAGCUUACUAAGGAGUAACUGACGCUGAGGCACGAAAGUGUGGGGAUCAAACAGG